RNAcentral lists this small nucleolar RNA (181 nucleotides) under Scedosporium apiospermum. The record is from RNAcentral. Lineage: Eukaryota; Fungi; Ascomycota; Sordariomycetes; Microascales; Microascaceae.
CCGUCUCCUGCCUCGCUCGAUCAGCUCCGCCAUCCCCACUGCUGAUCUUGAGCUGGAUACGCAAGGCUGGGCUCUGCUUAGCCUCACGUACUAGACAAGAACGAAUCCGACGGUGUUUUUUGAGUACGGGACCUUAGCUUGUAAAGUGAAGGCUUCCCGUAAUUUAUCUGCCGUUACAUAU